UACGUAGGGUCCAAGCGUUGUUCGGAUUCACUGGGCGUAAAGGGUGCGUAGGCGGUCGGGUAAGUCUGAUGUGAAAUCUCACAGCUUAACUGUGAAACUGCAUUGGAUACUAUCCGGCUCGAGGAAUGGAGGGGAGACUGGAAUACUUGGUGUAGCAGUGAAAUGCGUAGAUAUCAAGUGGAACACCAGUGGCGAAGGCGGCUUCCUGGUCCGACACCGACGUUCAGGCACGAAAGCGUGGGGAGCAAACAGG
This 253-nucleotide ribosomal RNA is filed under the name uncultured bacterium. RNAcentral's name for it is "partial 16S ribosomal RNA". It matches the Rfam family "Bacterial small subunit ribosomal RNA", at positions 524 to 776 of the family's 1533-position model. The record is from RNAcentral.